CAGAACAAAGCCACGCAGAUGAGGAGGAGAUCUGGUUUGCACAAUCGUACCUAUGGAGAAGCACUCAGAGGUUGGGAGAUGGUUAUCACCAACCACGUGUCAACAUCUUCAAAACUCAUCUUGAUAGCAUCUUAGCUUGGGGGCCACAUGGAGGCUGAAUGGCAGGAAGCCUGUGAGCUCUGGGGUUGUGAAGGGAAAAGACACAGUCUGCAGCAGUGCCAGUAUGCACAUCACAGGAAGAAUUAUGGAACUCCAUAAUGAAGGAGGUUAUCAUCCAGGAGUUAUACCCAGCUUGUUUUUAAACCUGCAAAGGGAAGAUACUGUGAACAAAGCAGUGAUGGCUCUGAGGUUCCUCCCCAGGCACCAGGAGAGGAGUGGGGCUGUUUUGGAUCACCUGAGCACAGGGCUGGAUGCAACUGGGUGCUCAACAUCUAAAAGGGAUGGCGAAAUAAAUUACACAGAUCUCUGUGCAAGUCUGAUCAAGCUCUGAAA
Molecule: long non-coding RNA, 492 nt
Organism: Haemorhous mexicanus (house finch)
Lineage: Eukaryota; Metazoa; Chordata; Aves; Passeriformes; Fringillidae
Exons: 4
Source: RefSeq, a predicted model, not a curated record